This 442-nucleotide ribosomal RNA is filed under the name uncultured bacterium. RNAcentral describes it as "partial 16S ribosomal RNA". It matches the Rfam family "Bacterial small subunit ribosomal RNA", at positions 339 to 795 of the family's 1533-position model. The record is from RNAcentral.
CUACGGGUGGCUCCAGUGGGGAAUAUUGCACAAUGGGGGAAACCCUGAUGCAGCGACGCCGCGUGAAGGAAGAAGGCCUUCGGGUUGUAAACUUCUUUGAUUGGGGACGAAUAAAAUGACGGUACCCAAAGAACAAGCCACGGCUAACUACGUGCCAGCAGCCGCGGUAAUACGUAGGUGGCAAGCGUUGUCUGGAAUUACUGGGUGUAAAGGGCGUGUAGGCGGGUAUGCAAGUCAGAUGUGAAAUUCCACGGCUUAACUGUGGGCGUGCAUCUGAAACUGUAUAUCUUGAGUGCUGGAGAGGAAAGCGGAAUUCCUAGUGUAGCGGUGAAAUGCGUAGAUAUUAGGAGGAACGCCAGUGGCGAAGGCGGCUUUCUGGACAGUAACUGACGCUGAGGCGCGAAAGCGUGGGGAGCAAACAGGAUUAGAUACCCGCGUAGUC